AAUUCGAUUAGAGUUUGAUCUGGCUCAGAACGAACGCUGGCGGCGUGGCUUAGGCAUGCAAGUCGAACGAGAAAGGGGUAGCAAUACCCCCGGUAAAGUGGCGUAAGGGUGAGUAACAUAUAGUCAACCUACCCUCAAGACUGGGGCAACAACCCGAAAGGGUUGCUAAUACCAGAUGGUGUCAAGCUGGCUUCGGCUGGCCUGACUAAACGGCGGGGACCCUUCGGGGCCUACCGCUUGAGGAGGGGUCUAUAUCCCAUCAGCUAGUUGGUAGGGUAACGGCCUACCAAGGCAAAGACGGGUAGCCGGCCUGAGAGGGUGUUCGGCCACACUGGCACUGAGACACUGGCCAGACUCCUACGGGAGGCUGCAGUCGAGAAUCUUCCGCAAUGGGCGCAAGCCUGACGGAGCGACGCCGCGUGGACGAUGAAGGCCUUCGGGUUGUAAAGUCCUGUCGCCUGGUAAGAAACGUGCAGCGCUAACAACGUUUGUGCUUGACGUUACCGGGAGAGGAAGCCACGGCUAACUCUGUGCCAGCAGCCGCGGUAAGACAGAGGUGGCAAGCGUUGUUCGGAAUCACUGGGCUUAAAGGGCACGUAGGCGGCCCGGCAAGUCGGAUGUGAAAUCCCCUGGCUUAACCAGGGAACUGCAUCCGAAACUACCGGGCUCGAGCGCAGGAGGGGAGAGCGGAACUCCUAGUGGAGCGGUGAAAUGCGUAGAUAUUAGGAGGAACGCCGGUGGCGAAAGCGGCUCUCUGGACUGCAGCUGACGCUGAGGUGCGAAAGCUAGGGGAGCAAACAGGAUUAGAUACCCUGGUAGUCCUAGCCCUAAACGAUGGGCACUAAGUAGGGGGGAUUCCGAUGUCCUCUCUGCCGAAGCGAAAGUAUUAAGUGCCCCGCCUGGGGAGUACGGUCGCAAGGCUAAAACUCAAAGGAAUUGACGGGGGCUUACACAAGCGGUGGAGCAUGUGGUUUAAUUCGAAGCAACGCGAAGAACCUUACCGGGGUUUGACAUGCAGGGAUUAGUUCCAUGAAAGUGGGAUGACGCGGGCAACCGUGGAACCUGCACAGGUGUUGCAUGGCUGUCGUCAGCUCGUGUCGUGAGAUGUUGGGUUAAGUCCCAUAACGAGCGAAACCCUUGUCCUUAGUUGCCAGCGGGUCAUGCCGGGGACUCUAGGGAGACUGCCGGUGUUAAGCCGGAGGAAGGUGGGGACGACGUCAAGUCAUCAUGGCCCUUACAUCCCGGGCUACACACGUGCUACAAUGACCGGUCUAAAGGGGCGCAAAGUCGCAAGGCGACGCAAAUCCCAAAAAACCGGCCUCAGUUCGGAUUGGAGGCUGAAAUUCGCCUCCAUGAAGUCGGAAUCGCUAGUAAUCGCGGAUCAGCUACGCCGCGGUGAAUAUGUUCCUAAGCCUUGUACACACCGCCCGUCAAGCCACGAAAGCUGGGAGUACUCGAAGUCGUUUGCCUAACCCGCAAGGGGAGGCGAUGCCUACGGUAAG
This 1502-nucleotide ribosomal RNA is filed under the name uncultured Planctomycetales bacterium. RNAcentral describes it as "bacterial SSU rRNA". It matches the Rfam family "Bacterial small subunit ribosomal RNA". Lineage: Bacteria; Pseudomonadati; Planctomycetota; Planctomycetia; Planctomycetales. The record is from RNAcentral.